Molecule: ribosomal RNA, 662 nt
Filed under: Salmonella enterica subsp. enterica serovar Schwarzengrund
Lineage: Bacteria; Pseudomonadati; Pseudomonadota; Gammaproteobacteria; Enterobacterales; Enterobacteriaceae
Description: partial 23S ribosomal RNA
Rfam family: Bacterial large subunit ribosomal RNA
Source: RNAcentral
CGAUGAAGGACGUGCUAAUCUGCGAUAAGCGCCGGUAAGGUGAUAUGAACCGUUAUAACCGGCGAUUUCCGAAUGGGGAAACCCAGUGUGACUCGUCACACUAUCAUUAACUGAAUCCAUAGGUUAAUGAGGCGAACCGGGGGAACUGAAACAUCUAAGUACCCCGAGGAAAAGAAAUCAACCGAGAUUCCCCCAGUAGCGGCGAGCGAACGGGGAGGAGCCCAGAGCCUGAAUCAGCAUGUGUGUUAGUGGAAGCGUCUGGAAAGGCGCGCGAUACAGGGUGACAGCCCCGUACACAAAAGCGCAUGUGCUGUGAGCUCGAUGAGUAGGGCGGGACACGUGGUAUCCUGUCUGAAUAUGGGGGGACCAUCCUCCAAGGCUAAAUACUCCUGACUGACCGAUAGUGAACCAGUACCGUGAGGGAAAGGCGAAAAGAACCCCGGCGAGGGGAGUGAAAAAGAACCUGAAACCGUGUACGUACAAGCAGUGGGAGCCCCACCACUAAGCCAGUGGUGAACUCCACAUACGCAUCCUUUGCUGAGGAUACGGUUAACGGAGCGAAAGCGACGUUCAACCGCAAAAGAAGCAGAGGGGGCUUAGUGGUGGGGUGACUGCGUACCUUUUGUAUAAUGGGUCAGCGACUUAUAUUCUGUAGCAAGGUU